Molecule: RNA transcript, 2717 nt
Organism: Mobula hypostoma (lesser devil ray)
Lineage: Eukaryota; Metazoa; Chordata; Chondrichthyes; Myliobatiformes; Myliobatidae
Gene name: cystatin-B-like
Exons: 7
Source: RefSeq, a predicted model, not a curated record
GCGGACCAGCCGAGAGGGCGUUACCCCGUCUCCUGCCGCAUGGCCACCGCAAUGCGGAACAAAUCCCAAAGUAAAUGUCCGCUUUCUGAUUUAUUUCCAUUUCCCUCCGAGGGAAGUUGGGGCGUUUGUGAAGCGUCUCCUGCGGCCGGAGUCUGAUGUAUCGCUGAGAGGUCAUUUAUAAGAAGAGUAGGGGUCCCAGAACAGAUCCCUGAGGAACACCACUGGUCACCGACCUCCAUGCAGAAUAUGACCCAUCUACAACCACUCUUUGCCUUCUGUGGGAAAGCCAGUUCUGGAUCCACAAAACAAUGUCACCUCGCAUCGCAUGCCUACCAUGAGAAGGCUGCUUUAAAAUUGGGUAUUGCUGUGUGGUGCAGCUCAAAGAACCUGCUUCACACAUUGAGGGGUAUCUUCCGGGUAUUCCAGUUUCCACCCACAAUCCAAAAAUGUACUGGUUGGCAGAAGGGAGUUCCAUGAUAUUCCUGAAGACACCUUCCAAACCUACAACCUCUGGGACAUAUGGCUUGGGCAGACAAGGAACUGGCGCUUUUAUUUUGGUCUGUGGCUGGCUCGACAAGCAGGGACCCAAUCUCUAAGUUGGACAUUCCCUUGACAGCCCCUGCUCUUGAUGGGAGACCACAAGCCAGGAAACGUGUGUCAUGUUUCAUGUUUCAGAGUUCCCGUGCUUCAUGAUUAAUUUCACCUUAUCUAUUCCCUGGGGUCCCUCUCAUCUGAGGGUCUCCGUGGUUUCCACAGCAUGUCCCUGUUAUGGUUGAACUGGGCUGGGCUUGCAGCUGCCAUCGGAUCUGCCUCUCAGAAGCUUACGGAUUUCCCCGGACUGUAAUCCGUGUUUCCAAGUCUGCCUCUCACAAUUCGAAGUCUUUGACCUAUAAUGAUGUCAAGAACCUUUCCAGGAAUAUUACAACCGCUUUGAGGCUUUUGGAAAACAGACUGCAAAUCACACGCUAUGAUUGUGCAAAAAAGUUAUUCUAGGGAUCUGUCUUUCCCUCUCAGCAGCUGAAAUGCUGGUCAAGGACAGGUAUAUUCAAGAGGUUUUCGCUUCAUGGAUAUCAGAUCCUGCUUUUCUCCUGCAGGAUUGUUUUUUUUUUGUAAUCACAAAAGAUGGGUGCCUGAGACCUUGUAUAGAUUAUGGGUUCUUUAAUAAAAUAACAGUAUGAAUCACUAACAACAGGAAUUCUGCAGAUGCUGGAAAUUCAAGCAACACACAUAAAAGUUGCUGGUGAACGCAGCAGGCCAAGCAGCAUCUGUAGGAAGAGGUACAGUCGACAUUUCAGGCCGAGACCCUUCGUCAGGACUAACUGAAGGAAGGAAAGGAACAUGAGGCGAACGUAGUCAAUCUCACCUCAUCAGAGAGUAUGAGCUGACUGUAUUCAAUCUCCCCUCAUCAGUGAGUAUGAGGCGACCAUAUUUAAUCUCCCUUCACGGUAAAGCCAGCUGUGGAGAAAGAUAUGGACAUGAAGCUAAAGGAGUACGACGCGAAGUUGUACUGUACGCAGGUGGUUGCCGGGACAAUGUAUUACAUCAAGAUUCAUAUUGGACCCGGAGAUGAAUGCAUCCAUGUCAAGAUCUUUAUCCCACUCCCAAAUCUCGGACAAGAUACCUGCUUUGGAGGCACGCAGAAACACAAGAAACUCUCAGACCCGAUCAUCGGCUUCUAGAGCAGGAGGGGUUCUUUUGAAGACGCUGACCUGGAGUUACACGCAAGAAUUUCAACGCUUGAAUUUCCAGCAUCUGCAGAAUUCCUGUUGUUUGCGUUUAAAUUCACUACUGCGAAGCCUCUUCCGGUGAUGCCUACACCGAAGAAGUUUAGAUCCUCUCUUCGACGGGAGUUCAGUGAAACCAUCUCUCACUGCUCCCCAUCUGUGAUUUCUUCGGCUCUUCAACUUUUCGACCAGACUUUGACUCAAACUCGCUAUCAGCGCCUCUUCCUAUAGAUGCUGCCUGGCCUGCUGCGUUCACCAGCAACUUUGAUGUGUGUUGCUUGAAUUUCCAGCAUCUGCAGAAUUCCUGUUGUUACACGCAAGCUUCGGUUCUUUGAGGGAAUGGCAUCCACUCUCAGGGUUUCACGACUGGCCACUAUUCGACAUGCCAAACGUUUGCCCUGAGAGUCUCGAUCGUGUUCAGAAGCCUAAGAUCUUGGGGCUCUGGAGACGGUCGGAUCGAGGGUCAGUGUCACUCGUAUGUCGUCGGGGAGGCCGGAAAAUCUUUUGCUGUGUGCCCGAAGACCCGAGCUCUUUGCGAUCUUCGGGCACAGACCAAACGGACUUUUAAGAUCGUAAACCAGCGAGUUGUUGUUAUGUCUCCUGCCCGCUGUGAAGAUGGAGGACGCCUCCCUCUCCCUUGCAGGGGGAGAGAGAACCAGUGUGUUGUCGAAUUCCGAUGAAAUGCGAAACUUCCGGAGUAACUGCAAGAUCGGUGCCCUUGCUAUCGCUUAGCACACGCUUGGACUCGGUGAUUGUAUCGAUGUGCGUUACAUUUUGCGAGUGGGAGAAGGGGAUCGCUGUCGCUGACGGUGACCCGCGUCAGGGGAUUGCUGCCGGGACUUUGGGUUCUCACGUUUAACUAUCGUUCAUUCUUUGGGGCACUUCUCUGUUUUCGUGGAUGCUUUGCGAAGAAAAACAACAUUUCAGGAUGUAUAUUGUAUACAUUUCUCUGACAUUAAACUUGUCCUUUGGAACUUUGAAAGUCGGAGAAUU